UCUACGGGUGGCAGCAGUGGGGAAUAUUGGGCAAUGGGCGCAAGCCUGACCCAGCAACGCCGCGUGAAGGAAGAAGGCUUUCGGGUUGUAAACUUCUUUUCUCAGGGACGCAGAAAGUGACGGUACCUGAGGAAUAAGCCACGGCUAACUACGUGCCAGCAGCCGCGGUAAUACGUGGGGGGCAAGCGUGAUCCGGAUGUACUGGGUGUAAAGGUGGUGUAGGCGGGGCAGCAAGUCAGAUGUGAAAACCACGGGCUCAACCUGUGGCCUGACUUUGAAACUGUAGUUCUGGAGUAGUGGAGAGGCAGACGGAAGUCCUAGUGUAGCGGUGAAAUGCGUAGAUAUUAGGAGGAACACCAGUGGCGAAGGCGGUCUGCUGGACAGCAACUGACGCUGAGGCGCGAAAGCGUGGGGAGCAAACAGGAUUAGAUACCCGAGUAGUC
Molecule: ribosomal RNA, 443 nt
Filed under: uncultured bacterium
Lineage: Bacteria
Description: partial 16S ribosomal RNA
Rfam family: Bacterial small subunit ribosomal RNA
Source: RNAcentral